This 492-nucleotide ribosomal RNA is filed under the name uncultured bacterium. Its description in RNAcentral is "partial 16S ribosomal RNA". It matches the Rfam family "Bacterial small subunit ribosomal RNA", at positions 29 to 507 of the family's 1533-position model. The record is from RNAcentral.
AGUGAACGCUGGCGGUAGGCCUAACACAUGCAAGUCGAACGGCAGCACAGUAAGAGCUUGCUCUUACGGGUGGCGAGUGGCGGACGGGUGAGGAAUACAUCGGAAUCUACUUUUUCGUGGGGGAUAACGUAGGGAAACUUACGCUAAUACCGCAUACGACCUACGGGUGAAAGCAGGGGAUCUUCGGACCUUGCGCGAUUGGAUGAGCCGAUGUCGGGUUAGCUAGUGGGCGGGGUAAAGGCCCACCAAGGCGACGAUCCGUAGCUGGUCUGAGAGGAUGAUAAGCCACACUGGAACUGAGACACGGUCCAGACUCCUACGGGAGGCAGCAGUGGGGAAUAUUGGACAAUGGGCGCAAGCCUGAUCCAGCCAUACCGCGUGGGUGAAGAAGGCCUUCGGGUUGUAAAGCCCUUUUGUUGGGAAAGAAAAGCAGCAGGUUAAUACCCCGCUGUUCUGACGGUACCCAAAGAAUAAGCACCGGCUAACUUCGUG